This 253-nucleotide unclassified non-coding RNA is filed under the name uncultured Alcanivoracaceae bacterium. RNAcentral's name for it is "contains 16S-23S intergenic spacer region". It matches the Rfam family "Bacterial small subunit ribosomal RNA", at positions 524 to 776 of the family's 1533-position model. The record is from RNAcentral. Lineage: Bacteria; Pseudomonadati; Pseudomonadota; Gammaproteobacteria; Oceanospirillales; Alcanivoracaceae.
UACGUAGGUGGCAAGCGUUGUCCGGAAUUACUGGGCGUAAAGCGCACGUAGGCGGCUGAUUAAGCUAGCUGUGAAAGCCCCGGGCUCAACCUUGGAAUUGCAUCCGAUACUGGCACGCUAGAGUGCAGUAGAGGGAGGUGGAAUUUCCGGUGUAGCGGUGAAAUGCGUAGAGAUCGGAAGGAACACCAGUGGCGAAGGCGGCCUCCUGGACUGACACUGACGCUGAGGAGCGAAAGCGUGGGGAGCAAACAGG